Amphilophus citrinellus (Midas cichlid) is the source of this 66-nucleotide microRNA precursor. Lineage: Eukaryota; Metazoa; Chordata; Actinopteri; Cichliformes; Cichlidae. The record is from Ensembl.
UCAGUCUUCAAUUCCUCCCAGCCCAUUACUAUGGAAACUGUGAGUUGAGGCGAGUUGAAGACUAAA